This is a long non-coding RNA of Micropterus dolomieu (smallmouth bass), 533 nucleotides long. RefSeq lists it as uncharacterized. The record is from RefSeq and is a predicted model, not a curated record. NCBI's taxonomy places the organism in Eukaryota, Metazoa, Chordata, Actinopteri, Centrarchiformes, Centrarchidae. The transcript has 3 exons.
CGAUGUCAAGAAUGCCAGUUGCUAUUAAAUCUCAAAUAAGAGGAGCAGUCUUGUGGUGGAGAAAGGAUUUGCUGUGCAGGACUGAUUCAGGAUGGCAAAAGAGCAGGAGGAGGAGGGCCGGGCCACCAUAAAACGUCAUCUUAAGAAACCUCCAGAACUCUUCACUUGGAAACUGGGAAGAACUCAGACUCCAGCACUGAGAUUCACCUUGUCUGCCUGCUAGACCCAAUUUCACCCCCCUCUGAACUGAAGCCCUUACCCGAUACUGCUCAUCUGCCCCCAACCUAACUGUAUCCUGUUUGUUUGUGUCCUUGCUUCCGAUCCGCUUUGGGGACUAGAACCCUGACAGUUAGGAAACGUUUGAAGCUUCGGAAUGCGUACACUUGGAUUUUAUAGAUCAGGGCUUCACAAUACUUACUCUCAUAAACAAGUACAUACAUUAUAUUAAAUUAUAUACACUACUGUAAUACCGUAUAUAAGCCAGAGGCUAUAAGACAUGAGCAUGUUUUGUCUAUUAAAAGCAAAUGAAUGUG